UGGGGAAUAUUGCGCAAUGGGGGAAACCCUGACGCAGCAACGCCGCGUGAAGGAUGAAGGUUUUCGGAUCGUAAACUUCUUUGAUGAGGGACGAAGAAUGACGGUACCUCAAAAACAAGCCACGGCUAACUACGUGCCAGCAGCCGCGGUAAUACGUAGGUGGCGAGCGUUGUCCGGAAUUACUGGGUGUAAAGGGCGUGUAGGCGGGGAUACAAGUCAGAUGUGAAAUACCGUGGCUUAACCACGGGGCUGCAUCUGAAACUGUAUGUCUUGAGUGUCGGAGAGGAAAGUGGAAUUCCCAGUGUAGCGGUGAAAUGCGUAGAUAUUGGGAGGAACACCAGUGGCGAAGGCGACUUUCUGGACGAUAACUGACGCUGAGGCGCGAAAGCGUGGGGAGCAAAC
This 402-nucleotide ribosomal RNA is filed under the name uncultured bacterium. Its description in RNAcentral is "bacterial SSU rRNA". It matches the Rfam family "Bacterial small subunit ribosomal RNA", at positions 355 to 773 of the family's 1533-position model. The record is from RNAcentral.